GAUAAUAGCUAAACCGUCAUGAACGCACUAAAACUUUGGAAGCUAAGCAGGAUUUAGCAUGGUUAGUACUUGGAUGGGAGUCUGCCUGGGAAUAACAGGUGAUGUAGGCU
This 110-nucleotide ribosomal RNA is filed under the name Petromyzon marinus (sea lamprey). The record is from RNAcentral. Lineage: Eukaryota; Metazoa; Chordata; Hyperoartia; Petromyzontiformes; Petromyzontidae.